Molecule: ribosomal RNA, 529 nt
Filed under: uncultured Ascomycota
Lineage: Eukaryota; Fungi; Ascomycota
Description: eukaryotic LSU rRNA
Rfam family: 5.8S ribosomal RNA (bases 169-320)
Source: RNAcentral
CUUGGUCAUUUAGAGGAAGUAAAAGUCGUAACAAGGUUUCCGUAGGUGAACCUGCGGAAGGAUCAUUAACAAAUCAGCCCCUUACGGGGACAUUUGCGCUCGUGAGCAAUCAUGGGAUGCACAUUAACACAUUACUGUCAAGUUUACGUGAGAUUAUAAAUUAGAAACAACUUUUAACAAUGGAUCUCUUGGCUCUUGCAACGAUGAAGAACGCAGUAAUGUGCGAAAAGUAAUGCGAUCUGCAUUAUCUGUGAAUCAUCAAAUCUUUGAACGCAAAUGGCACUGCCACGACAAGUGGCGGUAUGCCUGUUUGAGAACCGAAUAAAACAUCACCUCUAGUUAGAGGCGGACGUGCUUGUGACUGCGGUCUUGAGCUGAAAGUAUUGUUGCGGGCACUGUGUCCGGUGUAUGAUAGUCUUUACACCCAUGGCCGGUGCUAGUAAAUGCAGCACGGACAGUAUAUUUCAAAAACCGGUCUCAAAUCAGGCAAGGCUACCCGCUGAACUUAAGCAUAUCAAUAAGCGGAGGA